RNAcentral lists this ribosomal RNA (482 nucleotides) under uncultured bacterium. Its description in RNAcentral is "partial 16S ribosomal RNA". It matches the Rfam family "Bacterial small subunit ribosomal RNA", at positions 30 to 507 of the family's 1533-position model. The record is from RNAcentral.
AUUGAACGCUGGCGGCAUGCUUUACACAUGCAAGUCGAACGGUAACAGGCCGCAAGGUGCUGACGAGUGGCGCACGGGUGAGUAAUGCAUCGGAACGUGCCCAGUCGUGGGGGAUAACUACUCGAAAGAGUAGCUAAUACCGCAUACGAUCUAUGGAUGAAAGCGGGGGACCGUAAGGCCUCGCGCGAUUGGAGCGGCCGAUGUCAGAUUAGGUAGUUGGUGGGGUAAAGGCUCACCAAGCCAACGAUCCGUAGCUGGUCUGAGAGGACGACCAGCCACACUGGGACUGAGACACGGCCCAGACUCCUACGGGAGGCAGCAGUGGGGAAUUUUGGACAAUGGGCGCAAGCCUGAUCCAGCAAUGCCGCGUGCAGGAAGAAGGCCUUCGGGUUGUAAACUGCUUUUGUACGGAACGAAACGGCUCUGGUUAAUACCCGGGGCUAAUGACGGUACCGUAAGAAUAAGCACCGGCUAACUACGUG